RNAcentral lists this ribosomal RNA (489 nucleotides) under uncultured bacterium. RNAcentral describes it as "partial 16S ribosomal RNA". It matches the Rfam family "Bacterial small subunit ribosomal RNA", at positions 355 to 861 of the family's 1533-position model. The record is from RNAcentral.
UGGGGAAUAUUGGACAAUGGGGGCAACCCUGAUCCAGCAAUGCCGCGUGUGUGAAGAAGGUCUUCGGAUUGUAAAGCACUUUCGACGGGGACGAUGAUGACGGUACCCGUAGAAGAAGCCCCGGCUAACUUCGUGCCAGCAGCCGCGGUAAUACGAAGGGGGCUAGCGUUGCUCGGAAUGACUGGGCGUAAAGGGCGUGUAGGCGGUUUACACAGUCAGAUGUGAAAUCCCCGGGCUUAACCUGGGAGCUGCAUUUGAUACGUGUAGACUAGAGUGUGAGAGAGGGUUGUGGAAUUCCCAGUGUAGAGGUGAAAUUCGUAGAUAUUGGGAAGAACACCGGUGGCGAAGGCGGCAACCUGGCUCAUGACUGACGCUGAGGCGCGAAAGCGUGGGGAGCAAACAGGAUUAGAUACCCUGGUAGUCCACGCUGUAAACGAUGUGUGCUAGAUGUUGGGUAACUUUGUUAUUCAGUGUCGCAGUUAACGCGUU